Molecule: long non-coding RNA, 882 nt
Organism: Empidonax traillii (willow flycatcher)
Lineage: Eukaryota; Metazoa; Chordata; Aves; Passeriformes; Tyrannidae
Exons: 3
Source: RefSeq, a predicted model, not a curated record
GAGAGGAGUGAGCCUUUCCUUGGUCACCUCUUCUGUAACCCCAAACACACGAGCUUCCACAAGCCAUGACACCUCCGUGCCUGUUCUCUGGGGUGCUGAUGUAUGAGCCACGCAGGAUGAAGGAUAUGUCUUUUACUACAAAGAACUUAGAAGUCACACAAGCCUCUACUGUGCACCUGUACAUAGAUAUUUUAAGAGUAUAACUUCACCAAAUUUGGCAAUUCAAACAAAGCAGAAUGUACCAUAGCUCAGCCACAAAGAUAACUCUCUGCCACAAGUUUCACAUCCCUCUGUCAGUGCACAGAGGCACCAGGACCUCAAACCAGCUCAGCACUGUCCCAAACUCGGGACAACGGCGCUGCGUGCGACAUGGCAGCUCCUGAGACGUAUGGAAACUGUCAUGGGCAGUGAAGAAGGCCCUUGCAAGUAGACCUUUCCAUGUCUAAUGUAAUAUUACCCCAGCAUCCAUCCCUGAGGAAUGAAGUUUCCCUGCAAGCAUUUUUCGAGAGACUUAUGAUCAACUAAAUUUUCUUUGCUGAGCAGCAAUUCCUGGAAAAUCCUGCAACGUAUUCAAAGACUUUCCCCCUGCUUUUGGAGAAUUAGCUCUGGGCAAAAUGAUAUAGUCUAUUGAGGCCAUAUCUGACCCAGAAAGUAUUAACUGAAGAAUGUGCAGGACAGCUGCUUAUCGGAAAGAAAAGACAUGCAGUGCAGGAGAAUGACAUGUAGAGCUACUCGAGUCAGUUCUGAAUGACUGUCAGCUCUCCAGAGCCAGCCAAGCCCGGGAAGCAGAUAGGACACUCUGCCAGAGCCCGUGCACAUCCGUAAUGGAGCAGGCUCGGGUAUCUCCAGCACAGGACUGCACCAUGAGGCGAGGAGAUAGUU